AAUUCAGCUGGCCCAAGGAUGGAUAUUGUGUUACUAGAAGAUUCGAAGCAGACUGGGUUCCUUGCCCAGAGCAUAGAGGAAUAUGCUGAAGCCAUUAUUGAAGUCAUUAAGAUGCCAGAGAAUGAGAGGCUGGAGAUAGCUGCUGCUGCGAGGAAGCGAGCCUCCAUGUUCUCAGAGCAAAGGUUUUAUGAAGAUUUUAAGGCUGCUGUGCGACCAAUCUUUUGUGAUGGUACCAAAUGAUUACAAAAUCUUUGUUUCCAUAAAUACAAGAGAUGAAUUUUGUUGCAACAUACUUAAACUUUGUCCUAUCUUGUCUUUUUCUGGUUUUCCUUUUUCUUAUAAAUUUUACUUUAGAUUGUAUUUAUACUUUGUCAGUAACUUAGCCUUGAAGUUACUAAUUACAGGAAAAAAGUUUGCCUCUGAUUUGGCAGUUAGAAUAAAAGAGAUGGUCCUCCUUUCUUUAGGUUUAGCUAAAGUAGAUAGUCAUAUAUACUGGCACAGCGGGGCGUUACAGAUGAAGGGAAUAAUAUUUAUGGGUCUAAUGUCUGUCUGGCGAAAAAAAAUUCAAUUCUAUCUUUAAUUCAUGUUGAAUUUUGUGCAGCUACGUAUUUUCUUAGGAGCUGUAAAUUUUUCAAUCAGUUUUGCUGUGAUGUUCAUGCAUUAAGCAUAUCCGAGAAUUCGUUUUCAUUUUUAUUUAUUGUUGGGAAGGUGGGGAGGAGGGGGAUUUAUUUAUUAAAAGAAAGAAUGAUAUGUUUUUGGAAGAAUUUGGUCUAACAUGUUUUUCUUGGACAGUUUCCUUGGCAAUAACUGGAGUUACUUGACAAUAAUAAAAGAUGGGUGUUGCCCAAAAAAUGGAUUAUACAUACUUCUCAUAUAGUUUUUCAGUGAAUAAAUGAAAUUAACGGUGGAAAUUAUAUAUGUCUGACAAGGAAAAAAGUUUAUCAUAGUGAAUAAAUAAAAGCUUCUAACACUUCUGAAUUUAAUUUUCAUUUACAUGUAAAAUUUUAAGUUUGACCCCACGGUGUGGGGUAAUACUGGGUAUGUUGUUAUUGACUUAUUGUUGUAAAAUUUUAAGUUUAAUAUCUUAAUUUCCAUAUACACUUUUAGAAAUGACUUUCUUUUCUGAGACCAAAAAUAAAAAAGGAAAACAGUAGCUUAUGUAUUUGUUGGUUGGUUUUAUGUUCAUGGGAAACAGUAAGAUCAUAGAAAUUCAGAUCCCAUUAGGAAAAAUAUAGUGGAGGAUAAUAUCGGGGCCCCCAUGUGCACCAUACAUUUUGCAAGUGAAGAAGAAGCAGUGUUCCAAGUGCACCAGUGCUGAUUACACUGUUCCUCAGCGACCGUUAAUUUCUGCAGUCUCCACUGUCCAGCACUUUUCAUGGUAGGGUCUUCAACUCCUCAUUGGAGGAACCAGAAUAAGGGAGGAGACAGUAGCUGUUUCCAAGUCUUUGGGGGCUUUCAGCAACAAUGGGAAAAAGAUCAGAAUUCCAGGACACAGAUUGCUGAGCAACAGACUAGUUAGGUGCCUAACAAAUGUUGAAGCCUUUAUAUUACGCGCUGCAGAUCUUAAAGAAGUCACCAAUCUUUUCGCAAGAUUCUCGAGUAGUCUACGUGUUCAAGGUGCCAUAAGGUAUAAAUCUCCAUAUAGGCGGCGGCCAGUACCAGUUGCCUGGAGAUGCAAGAAGAAACGUCAAAGCCGAGCAGACUCUUCCAGCCCCCGACACUAAUAUAUCAAUCUUAAACUACCUUAGUAUAAUUCAUUAGUUCUUCUGAAUACAUUUUAAAAUAUUUACAAAUUGUUUCUGUACAUCUAUUUCUACGUUUUGUAUGUAAUAUACAGUAGUUGUAAUCAGAAUCGGACUGAAACUUUGUAUUGAAAUAACCAAUAUAUUAACCCCAGACGAACGGUUUAUAAUGUUAAAAAAAUAUGUUUUUGAUGAAAAAAAUAAUACUAGUAUAAUCUGUUUUCUUCUGUGGCUAUAUAGAUGUGUGCGUGUGUCAAGAUGGAUGAUGAGAUGUAAUACUGUGCUUUAUGCACCGCUUUGUUGAAACGGUUUAUACUUGAUGAAUGAACAAAUUGCGUAGACUAGAGAGCUAUAUAGAAGUUCGAAUAUCUUCAGGAACUUAUUGAAUAUUUGAAGUACAACACUUGCCCAGCUCAUCUGUAUGCCACAUCAAUAUCACCUCCAGCUGCGCAACAAAGGUGAAGAUCUAGUAGAGGGGCUCAGAAACUAGCACGCAUACGCGACAAUAGCAAUAUUUUCCAUCAGAAGUACUGCAGAAGAUGGGUUUUGAGGUCCUGGGGGACAAUGAUUCCCCAUUGAUUCACAUCAUGCUCUACUAUCCUGCAAAAACACGUACUUUUUCAAGGGUAGUGUCUCUAGACAGAAUGUACAAUUUCUUCUCUUAUCAUUGCAGGCUCAUACUUUUACA
Non-coding RNA from Nicotiana tabacum (common tobacco), 2430 nucleotides. Lineage: Eukaryota; Viridiplantae; Streptophyta; Magnoliopsida; Solanales; Solanaceae. The record is from RefSeq and is a predicted model, not a curated record.